CGGAGGCAGCAGUGAGGAAUUUUGGACAAUGGGCGCAAGCCUGAUCCAGCCAUGCCGCGUGCGGGAAGAAGGCCUCCGGGUUGUAAACCGCUUUUGUCAGGGAAGAAAUCCUUUGGGCUAAUACCCCGGGGGGAUGACGGUACCUGAAGAAUAAGCACCGGCUAACUACGUGCCAGCAGCCGCGGUAAUACGUAGGGUGCAAGCGUUAAUCGGAAUUACUGGGCGUAAAGCGUGCGCAGGCGGUUGUGUAAGACAGAUGUGAAAUCCCCGGGCUCAACCUGGGAACUGCAUUUGUGACUGCACAGCUGGAGUGCGGCAGAGGGGGAUGGAAUUCCGCGUGUAGCAGUGAAAUGCGUAGAUAUGCGGAGGAACACCGAUGGCGAAGGCAAUCCCCUGGGCCUGCACUGACGCUCAUGCACGAAAGCGUGGGGAGCAAACAGGAUUAGAUACCCUGGUAGC
RNAcentral lists this ribosomal RNA (459 nucleotides) under uncultured bacterium. RNAcentral's name for it is "bacterial SSU rRNA". It matches the Rfam family "Bacterial small subunit ribosomal RNA", at positions 343 to 794 of the family's 1533-position model. The record is from RNAcentral.